Molecule: ribosomal RNA, 570 nt
Filed under: uncultured bacterium
Lineage: Bacteria
Description: partial 16S ribosomal RNA
Rfam family: Bacterial small subunit ribosomal RNA
Source: RNAcentral
UGGGGAAUAUUGCACAAUGGGCGCAAGCCUGAUGCAGCGACGCCGCGUGAGGGAUGACGGCCUUCGGGUUGUAAACCUCUUUCAAUAGGGACGAAGCGCAAGUGACGGUACCUAUAGAAGAAGGACCGGCCAACUACGUGCCAGCAGCCGCGGUAAUACGUAGGGUCCGAGCGUUGUCCGGAAUUACUGGGCGUAAAGAGCUCGUAGGUGGUUUGUCGCGUUGUUCGUGAAAACUCACAGCUUAACUGUGGGCGUGCGGGCGAUACGGGCAGACUAGAGUACUGCAGGGGAGACUGGAAUUCCUGGUGUAGCGGUGGAAUGCGCAGAUAUCAGGAGGAACACCGGUGGCGAAGGCGGGUCUCUGGGCAGUAACUGACGCUGAGGAGCGAAAAGCGUGGGGAGCGAACAGGAUUAGAUACCCUGGUAGUCCACGCCGUAAACGGUGGGUACUAGGUGUGGGGUUUCCUUCCUUGGGAUCCGUGCCGUAGCUAACGCAUUAAGUACCCCGCCUGGGGAGUACGGCCGCAAGGCUAAAACUUAAAGGAAUUGACGGGGUCAUAGCUGUUUCCU